Molecule: ribosomal RNA, 572 nt
Filed under: uncultured bacterium
Lineage: Bacteria
Description: bacterial SSU rRNA
Rfam family: Bacterial small subunit ribosomal RNA
Source: RNAcentral
GAUGAACGCUGGCGGCGUGCUUAACACAUGCAAGUUGAACGAAGCUCAUAGAACCUAUUCCUUCGGGGAGAAGUUUUAUGAGACUUAGUGGCGAACGGGUGAGUAACACGUGAGCAACCAACCCCUGACAGUGGAAUAACAACGGGAAACCGUUGCUAAUACCGCAUAAUAUCCUUUUACGGCAUCGUAAAGGGAUCAAAGAUUUAUCGGUCAGGGACGGGCUCGCGUCCGAUUAGGUAGUAGGUAAGGUAACGGCUUACCUAGCCUGCGAUCGGUAGCCGGACUGAGAGGUCGAUCGGCCACAUUGGGACUGAGACACGGCCCAGACUCCUACGGGAGGCAGCAGUGGGGAAUAUUGGGCAAUGGGGGCAACCCUGACCCAGCGACGCCGCGUGAAGGACGAAGCAUUCGUGUUGUAAACUUCUUUGGAGAGGGACGAAGAUGACGGUACCUCUCGAACAAGCCACGGCUAACUACGUGCCAGCAGCCCGCGGUAAUACGUAAGGGCCAAGCGUUAUCCGGAAUUACUGGGUGUAAAGGGCGCGCAGGCGGCCCUGCAAGUCGGAUGUGAA